This 311-nucleotide ribosomal RNA is filed under the name uncultured bacterium. Its description in RNAcentral is "bacterial SSU rRNA". It matches the Rfam family "Bacterial small subunit ribosomal RNA", at positions 28 to 339 of the family's 1533-position model. The record is from RNAcentral.
GACGAACGCUGGCGGCGUGCUUAACACAUGCAAGUCGAGCGGUAAGGCCCUUUCGGGGGGUACACGAGCGGCGAACGGGUGAGUAACACGUGGGUGACCUGCCCUCAGCUCUGGGAUAAGCCUGGGAAACCGGGUCUAAUACUGGAUAUGACUCCAUGACGCAUGUUGUGGGGUGGAAAGCCUUGUGCGGCUGAGGAUGGGCCCGCGGCCUAUCAGCUUGUUGGUGGGGUGAUGGCCUACCAAGGCGACGACGGGUAGCCGGCCUGAGAGGGCGACCGGCCACACUGGGACUGAGACACGGCCCAGACUCC